AUGAACGCGAGUCACUCGCUACAGUCUCUUCAACAUGGCCGAUCAAGAGGAGUAAAGACAGGACAGUGAGGCAGCAAAUGACAGACUAAUCCACUUUCUGAAGCUUGGAUUACCCCAGGAAAACAUCAGUAACAUUUUAGGUGUCACUCAUACAACUAUCGUUCGUUGGAUGAGAGAAUGUGUUUGGCCAGAGACAGAAUCCAAUAAUUAACCCUGAGAUGGAAUAUUCAGACUCAAUGGCAGUUGAACAAGAUGGUGGAGAUGCUGACCAUGUUCACUUUGCAGUCAACGUGCCUGUAAUUCACAGGCCACAACUCACAAAUGAGCAAAUUGACCCACUGCAAGUGUCUGAUUCAUUUGGAGUAGAUGUAUACCUCAAGACUCUCACAUAUGUACAGACUUUGAUUGAAUAAAGGGAUAUUUGAAGGUUUAUUUCUGCUGCUCUAAUUUUGACAGCAAGGUUGUAAAUGUGUAUAUAUAGUUGUAUCUUAAGUAAAACUUGUGGAAACAACCUUUUAAGACAUGUAAAAUAAUUAAAUUUAUUUUAAAAUGUUA
Long non-coding RNA from Carassius auratus (goldfish), 555 nucleotides. RefSeq lists it as uncharacterized. The transcript is spliced from 3 exons. The record is from RefSeq and is a predicted model, not a curated record. NCBI's taxonomy places the organism in Eukaryota, Metazoa, Chordata, Actinopteri, Cypriniformes, Cyprinidae.